UCCUGCCUGGUCAGUUGGUGGCCGUUAUCUCCACUCUGGCGGAGGCAGUCACUCUCCUGGACUCCUCCUUCCCAAAUCUCUUUCUCAAAAGAGCUUUGGGUGUGAAGAUCUAUUUUUCUCCACCCGGUCCCACCUCCACUUGUAGCGGCAAAGUGUUCAGAGAUGAAAUGUUUUUCUGACCCCCAAGCAUUAAAGGCUAAGGGACUCUGUCAAACAGACUAAGAAAGGGUAGAGGUGCUGGACUCUCUUACCUUUUUCUUUUUGGUCAAACUUCCAAACACACAAGGUAACAAAGAUCAGCAAGCUACUACAUAAGUAAGUAUGACCAGGGGUCGGAUCCAUCGCCUCCAGUUGCUCAGAUUACACACGCUGGGCAUUUUCAUAAACAAAUUAGCUUACGAAAGCCAAGAAAACAAACCAAACCGAGAUUUUGGCACUUUCUCUUCUUUGAUUGUUUUCUCUUCUGGCUCUCUACAGAGAAAAAUGACCAGCUGCUGGCGCUGCGUCCUCGGGUCGCGCUGUGGUUGAGGCUCCUCGCAGCUUGGCCUCAGAAAGUGCAUCCUGUGAAGUAUCUGUGUCUUCUAAGUCUUGAUGUUGGCCUGUAUCAGGAGGUUCCUGUUCUUCUGGGAUAUCAGUGACAAUGUCUUCACAUGACUUGGAUGCAGCGGCUGCAUUCUGUAAAGUAAUCGAGUGUCCAAAGGCCUGAUGCCCCGGCCAGCGGGGUGUCAACGGGGGCGACCCACCUGCGGGAGAGAAUGAGAGGGACGGGUGAGACACGAAAGGACGACAGCAAGACAGUGUGUUCUGAUCAAGCUGCAAAUUUUAUUCUCCUCAGCAAGGGUUAUAUAGCAGGAGAGGGGGCAGGAAGGAGGGAAGGGGUGCAUGACGUGCCAUACGCGCAGGUGAAGGGGGACGUGCAGGUGAAGGGCUACGUGCAAGAAGUCGUGAGGCUGCAGGUGGUAAGGUCACUGGUCAGGGCUCAUUUUUUUGUUGCUAUGCCCUCUCAUUGUUUUCCCUUUAAGACAAUAUAAAUUUAUUAGCCAAAAGUUAA
This is a long non-coding RNA of Peromyscus eremicus (cactus mouse), 1051 nucleotides long. RefSeq lists it as uncharacterized. The record is from RefSeq and is a predicted model, not a curated record. The transcript is spliced from 2 exons. Lineage: Eukaryota; Metazoa; Chordata; Mammalia; Rodentia; Cricetidae.